This 886-nucleotide ribosomal RNA is filed under the name uncultured bacterium. RNAcentral describes it as "bacterial SSU rRNA". It matches the Rfam family "Bacterial small subunit ribosomal RNA", at positions 21 to 888 of the family's 1533-position model. The record is from RNAcentral.
GGCUCAGAACGAACGCGGGCGGCGUGCCUAACACAUGCAAGUCGAACGUGAAAGUCCUUCGGGAUGAGUAAAGUGGCGCACGGGUGAGUAAUGCGUAGAUAAUCUGCCUGGUGAUCUGGGAUAACAUCUCGAAAGGGGUGCUAAUACCGGAUAAGCCCACGGGCUCUUCGGAGCUUGCGGGAAAAGGGGGGGACCUUCGGGCCUUCUGUCAUCAGAUGAGUCUACGUACCAUUAGCUAGUUGGUAGGGUAAAGGCCUACCAAGGCUACGAUGGUUAGCUGGUCUGAGAGGAUGAUCAGCCACACUGGAACUGAGACACGGUCCAGACUCCUACGGGAGGCAGCAGUGGGGAAUUUUGCGCAAUGGGGGAAACCCUGACGCAGCAACGCCGCGUGAGUGAUGAAGGCCUUCGGGUCGUAAAGCUCUGUCAGAGGGAAAGAAAUGUGGGGCGCUAAUACCGCUACCACUUGACGGUACCCUCAAAGGAAGCACCGGCUAACUCCGUGCCAGCAGCCGCGGUAAUACGGAGGGUGCGAGCGUUGUUCGGAAUUAUUGGGCGUAAAGCGCGUGUAGGCGGUUUUAUAAGUCUGAUGUGAAAGCCCUGGGCUCAACCUGGGAAGUGCAUUGGAUACUGUAAGACUUGAGUACGGGAGAGGGCAGUGGAAUUCCUAGUGUAGGAGUGAAAUCCGUAGAUAUUAGGAGGAACACCGGUGGCGAAGGCGGCUGCCUGGACCGAUACUGACGCUGAGACGCGAAAGCGUGGGUAGCAAACAGGAUUAGAUACCCUGGUAGUCCACGCCGUAAACGAUGAGUACUAGGUGUUGCGGGUAUUGACCCCUGCAGUGCCGCAGCUAACGCAUUAAGUACUCCGCCUGGAAGUACGGUCG